RNAcentral lists this ribosomal RNA (312 nucleotides) under Lernaeenicus sp. S14/SRLAAH/2021. RNAcentral's name for it is "partial large subunit ribosomal RNA". It matches the Rfam family "Eukaryotic large subunit ribosomal RNA", at positions 81 to 385 of the family's 3401-position model. Lineage: Eukaryota; Metazoa; Arthropoda; Copepoda; Siphonostomatoida; Pennellidae. The record is from RNAcentral.
UAGUAAUGGCGAAUGAAACGGGCUGAGCCCAUCCCGAACUGCCUACCAUUCGGUAGCGCGGAAUGUGGGGUUGGGGACUCUUGCUUCGCACUUUGAUGACCAGUUCAAGUCCACCUUGACAGGGGCCACAGCCCAUAGAGGGUGAUAGGCCCGUACGACGGUUGUCUUUUUGCGCCGAGUGUUCCCUAGAGUCGAGUUGCUUGGGAGUGCAGCACAAAGCGCGUGGUAAGCUCCACGUAAGGCUAAAUACUACCCCGAGACCGAUAGCAAACAAGUACCGUGAGGGAAAGUUGAAAAGUACUCUGAAGAGAA